UGGCGGAUGCUAACACAUGCAGUCAGGAACGCGUGGAGCAUCCACGAGUGGCGGACGGGUUGAAGUAACGCGUGGGAACUGCCCUGGAGUGUGGGAUACGAGGGAAACUUCGGCUAAUACCGAUACGACCUGAGGUGAAAGAUUUAUCGCUCUAGAGGGGCCCGCGUCGGAUUAGCUAUUGGUGGGGUAACGGCCUACCAAGGCGGUGAUCCGUAGCUGGUCUGAGAGGAUGAUCAGCACACUGGGACUGAGACACGGCCAGACUCCUACGGGAGGCAGCAGUGGGGAAUAUUGGGACCAAUGGGGGCAAACCCUGAUCCAGCAAUGCCGCGUGGGUAGAUGAAGGCCUUCGGGUUGUAAAGCCCUUUCGCGCGCGACGAUGAUAGACGGUAGCGCGAGAAGAAGCCCCGGCUAACUUCGUGCCAGCAGCCGCGGUAAUACGAAGGGGGCGAGCGUUGUUCGGAAUAUACUGGGCGUAAAGGGCGCGCAGGCGGCGAGACAAGUCAGGCGUGAAAGCCCCGGGCUUAACCUGGGAAUUGCGCUUGGGACUGUCUGGCUUGAGUUCGGGAGAGGAGAGUGGAAUUCCCAGUGUAGAGGUGAAAUUCGUAGAUAUUGGGAAGAACACCGGUGGCGAAGGCGGUCUCUGGACCGAUACUGACGCUGAGGCGCGAAAAGCCGUGGGGAGGCAAACAGGGAUUAAGAUACCCUGGUAGCCCCACGCUGUAAACG
RNAcentral lists this ribosomal RNA (729 nucleotides) under uncultured bacterium. RNAcentral describes it as "bacterial SSU rRNA". It matches the Rfam family "Bacterial small subunit ribosomal RNA", at positions 37 to 808 of the family's 1533-position model. The record is from RNAcentral.